UACAGAGGGGGGCAAGCGUUGUUCGGAAUUACUGGGCGUAAAGGGCGCGUAGGCGGGUUCUCCAGUCAGGGGUGAAAUCUUUCGGCUUAACCGGAAAAGUGCCCCUGAUACUGAGAGUCUCGAGGGAGGUAGGGGCAUGUGGAACUUCCGGUGGAGCGGUGAAAUGCGUGAGAUAUCGGAAGGAACGCCGGUGGCGAAAGCGACGUGCUGGACCUCUUCUGACGCUGGAGGCGCGGAAAGCCAGGGGAGCAA
RNAcentral lists this ribosomal RNA (252 nucleotides) under uncultured bacterium. RNAcentral describes it as "partial 16S ribosomal RNA". It matches the Rfam family "Bacterial small subunit ribosomal RNA", at positions 524 to 771 of the family's 1533-position model. The record is from RNAcentral.